UACGUAGGGUGCGAGCGUUGUCCGGAAUUAUUGGGCGUAAAGAGCUCGUAGGCGGUCUGUCGCGUCGAUCGUGAAAACUUGGGGCUUAACCCUGAGCUUGCGGUCGAUACGGGCAUCACUGGAGUUCGGCAGGGGAGACUGGAAUUCCUGGUGUAGCGGUGAAAUGCGCAGAUAUCAGGAGGAACACCAGUGGCGAAGGCGGCUUCUGGACGGUAACUGACGCUGAGACGCGAAAGCGUGGGGAGCAAACAGG
RNAcentral lists this ribosomal RNA (253 nucleotides) under uncultured bacterium. RNAcentral describes it as "partial 16S ribosomal RNA". It matches the Rfam family "Bacterial small subunit ribosomal RNA", at positions 524 to 776 of the family's 1533-position model. The record is from RNAcentral.